This 254-nucleotide ribosomal RNA is filed under the name uncultured bacterium. RNAcentral's name for it is "partial 16S ribosomal RNA". It matches the Rfam family "Bacterial small subunit ribosomal RNA", at positions 524 to 776 of the family's 1533-position model. The record is from RNAcentral.
GACGAACCGUGCGAACGUUUAUUCGGAAUCACUGGGCUUAAAGGGCGCGUAGGCGGGCUCGCAGGUCAGGGGUGAAAGCCCACGGCUCAACCGUGGAAGUGCCUUUGAUACCGUGAGUCUCGAGGGAGGUAGGGGCGUGCGGAACUUCCGGUGGAGCGGUGAAAUGCGUAGAUAUCGGAAGGAACAUCGGUGGCGAAAGCGGCGCGCUGGACCUCUUCUGACGCUGAGGCGCGAAAGCCAGGGGAGCAAACGGG